Molecule: ribosomal RNA, 600 nt
Filed under: uncultured bacterium
Lineage: Bacteria
Description: bacterial SSU rRNA
Rfam family: Bacterial small subunit ribosomal RNA
Source: RNAcentral
CUCGCGGGAGCGCAACUGACGCUGAAGCUCGAAAGUGCGGGUAUCGAACAGGAUUAGAUACCCUGGUAGUCCGCACGGUAAACGAUGGAUGCCCGCUUUUCGGUCAUAAGACCGUGAGGCCAAGUGAAAACAUUAAGCAUCCCACCUGGGGAGUACGCCGGCAACGGUGAAACUCAAAGGAAUUGACGGGGGCCCGCACAAGCGGAGGAACAUGUGGUUUAAUUCGAUGAUACGCGAGGAACCUUACCCGGGCUUGAAUUGCAGAUGAAGGAUCCAGAGAUGGUGACGCCCUUCGGGGCAUCUGUGAAGGUGCUGCAUGGUUGUCGUCAGCUCGUGCCGUGAGGUGUCGGCUCAAGUGCCAUAACGAGCGCAACCCCUCUCUUCAGUUGCCAUCAGGCAAAGCUGGGCACUCUGGAGACACUGCCACCGCAAGGUGUGAGGAAGGUGGGGAUGACGUCAAAUCAGCACGGCUGGACGGGCGGUGGGACCCACGUCUUACAACGGGGGUACAGAAACCCGCUGAUGCGCAAGGUCAGUCCAAUCAAGAAAGCCCUCCUCAGUUCGCACUGGCCUCUGCAACCCGACCACAGGAAGCUGAUU